CGUUCUCCGGAUAAUAACAUUUCUAUAUGUAUACUUUGAGAAGUCGUUAUUGUUUUCGAUAGAGGCGCAAAUAAAUCGACCAAUGAACGUUGCCGCUCAUACAACAAAUCAACUAACGAAUAUGAAUAACAAUCAUGAAAGCAUGAAGCGGAAAAAACUGCAGCGGCGGACGGUGUGCUGUGACCGACUGUGACCACUUGUGAGCUCGCUUGUUGACAAAUAAAAAUGCAUUUUUCCUGAACCGUUCUUCAAUCCCGCUCCUCUUUGCUUCUUUU
Long non-coding RNA from Dendroctonus ponderosae (mountain pine beetle), 275 nucleotides. RefSeq lists it as uncharacterized. The transcript is spliced from 2 exons. The record is from RefSeq and is a predicted model, not a curated record. Lineage: Eukaryota; Metazoa; Arthropoda; Insecta; Coleoptera; Curculionidae.